Molecule: long non-coding RNA, 440 nt
Organism: Dendronephthya gigantea
Lineage: Eukaryota; Metazoa; Cnidaria; Anthozoa; Malacalcyonacea; Nephtheidae
Exons: 3
Source: RefSeq, a predicted model, not a curated record
UUUGCCGUUUGAGAACAGAAUUACUGUAAAAAGUUUAAUAAAUACAUUAAAUUUCGUUUUUUAAACUGGGUAGCCUGACAACGAAAAGAGGCUUAUAGCGAGCAAAAUAUAUCGCUUACCAAGGCUGUAUUCAAGACUGAAAAAGUCAAGUGCAUAGAAGGAGUUUUAAAUUCAUCACUACCUUGCUCAAAAAAAGAUUACUGUUCAAAUGUGCACAAGUUACAAGGCCAAAAACUGAAGCGGAUCCUCAUGAUGAGCAACUGUGGGACAUAUCAACACAAAUCACUCUUGGCAAAUGUCGAAAGAAACAAUGGAAAGAUAAGUGCAUUUACAAUAUUUCAUGCAAUAUGGUUCAUUCUAUACCUUUCGUUUCUCUUUCCGGCAGCGUCAAUUUUUUCGGUAGCGUCAUUUUUUCGGUAGCGUCAUUUUUUCGGCAGCGU